CGCCUGGGGAGUACGGCCGCAAGGUUAAAACUCAAAUGAAUUGACGGGGGCCCGCACAAGCGGUGGAGCAUGUGGUUUAAUUCGACGCAACGCGAAGAACCUUACCUGGCCUUGACAUCCAGAGAACUUUCCAGAGAUGGAUUGGUGCCUUCGGGGACUCUGAGACAGGUGCUGCAUGGCCGUCGUCAGCUCGUGUCGUGAGAUGUUGGGUUAAGUCCCGUAACGAGCGCAACCCCUAUCCCUGGUUGCUAGCAGGUAAUGCUGAGAACUCCAGGGAGACUGCCGGUGACAAACCGGAGGAAGGUGGGGAUGACGUCAGGUCAUCAUGGCCCUUACGGCCAGGGCUACACACGUGCUACAAUGGCGCGUACAGAGGGCUGCCAACUCGCGAGAGUGAGCCAAUCCCUUAAAACGCGUCGUAGUCCGGAUCGGAGUCUGCAACUCGACUCCGUGAAGUCGGAAUCGCUAGUAAUCGCGAAUCAGAAUGUCGCGGUGAAUACGUUCCCGGGCCUUGUACACACCGCCCGUCACACCAUGGGAGUGGAUUGCACCAGAAGUAGUUAGUCUAACCUUCGGGAGGACGAUUACCACGGUGUGGUUCAUGACUGGGGUGAAGUCGUAACAAGGUAACCGUA
This 635-nucleotide ribosomal RNA is filed under the name uncultured Marinobacter sp. RNAcentral describes it as "bacterial SSU rRNA". It matches the Rfam family "Bacterial small subunit ribosomal RNA", at positions 870 to 1504 of the family's 1533-position model. Lineage: Bacteria; Pseudomonadati; Pseudomonadota; Gammaproteobacteria; Pseudomonadales; Marinobacteraceae. The record is from RNAcentral.